GUUGCUAGGACAAAGCACGCUUCCCAAGCUGAAUGUCGCGGGUUCGAUUCCCGCCGGCCGCUCCA
Molecule: transfer RNA, 65 nt
Filed under: Brevundimonas alba
Lineage: Bacteria; Pseudomonadati; Pseudomonadota; Alphaproteobacteria; Caulobacterales; Caulobacteraceae
Description: tRNA-Gly
Source: RNAcentral